GUUUGGGAGGAUGGAUACUGAGAGCCUGAGCAAGCCAGCUCUCCAGCUCAGCUGGCAACCACACAGAAGAGCAUGCUUCUGGAUUCCAGAAAAAUGAGGUCAGUUCUUCAACAUCAAUCAAUGCGUGGUGGUUGCUUCUAGCAAGUGUUUCGCUUCACUUAUUUUAGUGACUAGGAAGCGGAAACCCAGAAGUUAAGCAAUGCUCUUCCCCACCCCCAGCUGAUGCGUCUCUUUUUGGAGGUAGCCGGGGGUCCUCCUCAAGCAAGCCCCCGCCCCACGAACUGGAGUCCACGCAGCAAAGACUGGACGCCGCCCCAGGGGCUGCCUUUCCAAGUACUUCUCGGUG
Molecule: long non-coding RNA, 346 nt
Organism: Ochotona princeps (American pika)
Lineage: Eukaryota; Metazoa; Chordata; Mammalia; Lagomorpha; Ochotonidae
Exons: 3
Source: RefSeq, a predicted model, not a curated record